ACAUUUUUCUGUUUUUCAAGAAAUAAAAAUAGUAUUGUUGAAAAUGGUGAAAAAGUGUGAAAGCUAUGAAAAAUUGUUCCAAUGGCUCUUUAGCUGAAAGGAAAUUAAAAUCGGAGGACCCCGAAAUAUUGCAACUAUGGAGCUCAGCAAUAUCUCAACAACUUUGUCAAAAAAAUUGGAUCUGCAAGUUGCAUUUUAACAGUGACGAUAUUCUUAAAAAUUUGGAAAAAAUAAAGUUGCAAAAUGGCGAAGUCUGAACUUUCAAGGCCUACAGUUGCUUUAAAAAAGGGUGCAAUUCCAAUGUUGGCAAUGGCAAAUGUUGUCACGAAUGGUGAUACAACUUCAUCAAAUCAUUUUCGUACCAACAAUCACUAUACUGAUAAUGAGUAUUUGCACGAAACAAGAAAUGUAAGCGAUUUGUACGAGUUAGACCAACUAUUUGGGAUAUUGCAUCUACUGAAGGACCAAGGAGUGCCCUAAAAUUGGUGUUGGCCAAAACAAAAUUAUCAAAUAAAAUUGCUGAUGAUUUGACAGUUCAGGUAACUAUCUUGGCAACGGAAGUUUCUAUUAAUUUGAAUUAUACAAUAAUAUCGGUAGCAUUAUUUUGGAAUAUGCUACGAGAAAUAGAAACUUGUCAGUUCUGUAGCGGCGCUGGAUUUAACGGAAGAUGCUCAACCGCAUGUCAAGGCAUUUUACUAUCCGAUAAAAAAUAUAAACGAUCUAAAAGAGAAUAUAUGUGUUUGGCUUGUCGUACAUUACGGAAGAGAUUAUUAAUAUCUUCAAAGAAAAAGAAAGAUGUAUACUUCAUACGAAACAAUAACGUUUACGUCGUCUGUAUUAAAAGGUAAUCAAAGUUUGCGUAAUGUAACUAAAUUUUACAAUUCCUUAUAAUAUAGGGCCAGCAGUUAACACAUUGCGUACGGGUCACGAGAUAUCUCGUUUUUAGCAAAUUGAACGUUGCGUACGGGUUACGAGAUAUUUCGUUUUCAUGUUUUUUUUAACCGUUUGAGUGCCACGGGCUUUUCUCAUUUCCUGAUCGAAACUUGCCAAGCGGCGCGAUAGCGCUUG
Molecule: long non-coding RNA, 1068 nt
Filed under: Polistes dominula (European paper wasp)
Lineage: Eukaryota; Metazoa; Arthropoda; Insecta; Hymenoptera; Vespidae
Description: uncharacterized LOC107073582, transcript variant X2
Source: RNAcentral